This 234-nucleotide ribosomal RNA is filed under the name Triticum aestivum (bread wheat). Its description in RNAcentral is "partial small subunit ribosomal RNA". The record is from RNAcentral. Lineage: Eukaryota; Viridiplantae; Streptophyta; Magnoliopsida; Poales; Poaceae.
AUGGCGGCAAUCAAUAAAUCACUUGUGUCACUACUUCCGAAGAAGGAAGGGGCGUUGGAUGUGGGCAAUUUUCGACUAAUGAACCUAGUGCAUGGGGCUAUCAAAAUAUUUGAGAAGGUUCUCUCGUCUCGGCUAGCGGUGGAACUUCCGAAUCUAGUGGGAAACCACCAGAGCAUGUUUGUGAAGGGGAGGUCCUUGCAUGAAAAUUUUAUGCUUGUACAGUGUAUGGCAUGA